RNAcentral lists this long non-coding RNA (693 nucleotides) under Nicotiana benthamiana. RNAcentral's name for it is "long non-coding RNA (NBEN_LNC042237)". The record is from RNAcentral. Lineage: Eukaryota; Viridiplantae; Streptophyta; Magnoliopsida; Solanales; Solanaceae.
UAGCAGAUGCACCUGGCAUAGAAAAGCCCUGAACUAAUGGAGCACAAGACGAACUUUGAGCUGGAAGGGCAGUAAGUGAUGACUAGCCCUGAUGCCCCACGAUAACUUGGGUGAGCUGGCUGAGCAUGCCUGAAUGGACGACCUCUGCUGUGCUGAAACUGACCUCUCGAAGGAGCACCACCAUAACUGCCAGAUCCCCAAGGCCUCUUGGCCUCUCCUCAACUCGCUCUUGGCAAUGAACUGACUCAAUCACACGAGCAAUGUUAACAACCUCCUCAAAAGAAUCACCAGAUACCCUCGCCCUGGUCAUGAGAAUAUGAAGCUGAAUGUGAUGCCAUCAACGAACCUCCCGAUCCUCUGUCUAUCUAUCGGAACCAAAUAGCAUGACGAGCUAACUCUGAUAACCUCAUCUCAUACUGCAUCACCGUCAAAUAUCCUUAUGCAACCACUUGAGCUGCCUGCGUAGCUCCUUUCUGGGAUACUGCGGAACAUACUUCUCCAAAAAGAGAAUGGAGAACUGAUGCCAGGUAAGGGGUGCUGCACUAACAGGCCUACACCUCUCAUAAGCCUCCAACCAAGUGAAGGAGGCUCCAGAAAAAUAAAUAGUAGUGAAAGCGACCCCGCUGGUAUCCAGAAUACUUGUUGUGCGAAGAAUCCUCUAACAUUUGUUCAAGAAAUCCUGGGCAUCCUCAC